CCAGGAGUUGUUUGGAAGUGAAAGACCAGGAAUGAGAGCUGUAGCUUCACAAAGCUCUAAUCUCUUGGAGGAGAAAAUGCAGGUGAGAAAACCUGCGUUAAGGGAUUUAAGUGCUCUGAGAUGGGAUUCAGGUCCUCUGGAAUCUACAGUCAUCAUUUGCUUUAGUGCUUCUCCCAGCUGGAAAACCAAGGAUGAUGUUUUUCAGCACUUCAGAAUGAAGUUGUGUUUACUGUAGUGCUUUGAGUAAUAGUGAGAGCAUGUGUUGAAGGACCCUACUUGUUUAACAACAAAAUUCGGAUUUCAUUCCGCUGGGUCCCUAUUCUUCUUUCUCAAGUGAAAUGCUGUCUGCAUUGAUAACAGCUUUCAUUGGAUGAAGUUCACAGUAUGCAGAGGAUUUUUCACUACCUAAGUGAUACUGACACUAAUACAUGAAGGAUCAAAAGUCUGCCCUGUGUGCCUCCAGCACUGUAGAGGAAUGGAGUUCAGAAGCUGGCAUUUGGAAAAAAACUGAAACUAGCCAAGGUUAAUCUCUUUGGAAUAUUUAUUCCCACAUCACCUUUUGGCAGAAGAUACCUUCUGUGUUCCAGAUCCAGUAUCAAGAAUCUCUUGCAUAAAAAUGUAUUUUCCAUAUGUCAGAAAAAAUUGUCCUCUUCCCUAGCAACAUGCAAUUAGCCUCAUAUUUUAAACCAUCAUCCAGAACUGAGAGGAUUUCUAUCCUUGGCUUGAAAGGAUCGAAGCCCACAUUUUUCACUUUCUGGUUAUAUCUCCGCUGUGGGCAGAGAACUCACUUGCAGGGAACAAGAACUAGAUUGCUGCCACUCAUCUCCUCAAGGACCUAUGGGGAAGGGCUAACCCUACAGGGAUUGCUUGAGAGCAGGGGAGACAGUUUGUUGUCAAGAGAUUUGUCUUUCAGUUCAUUUUGGCUGGAGAACAGGAUUGAUAUGCACAGGUGAGGGCAGUGGCAGCCUGGAGCACAGCGCUCUGCCAUCUGCCCACUCAGCCCCCAAUAUAACUUACCAUCCCUGUGGCAU
This is a long non-coding RNA of Gallus gallus (chicken), 1031 nucleotides long. NCBI's taxonomy places the organism in Eukaryota, Metazoa, Chordata, Aves, Galliformes, Phasianidae. The record is from Ensembl.